RNAcentral lists this unclassified non-coding RNA (176 nucleotides) under uncultured fungus. Its description in RNAcentral is "sequence contains ITS1". Lineage: Eukaryota; Fungi. The record is from RNAcentral.
AUCUGGACCGCGAUCAUCGGCCGCGCGACCGGCUACCGAGAACUGGUCGUGGCACCCCCGCACAGCACGACCUUGAAGGUCCAGCAGUACUGCCGCGAGCGCGGCCUUUAUCCGCGCGGUGUGGGCAUCGAGCGCCAGUAUGCCUCGCUGCUCGACCCACCCGAGACGGCCGUGCA